RNAcentral lists this ribosomal RNA (497 nucleotides) under uncultured bacterium. RNAcentral describes it as "partial 16S ribosomal RNA". It matches the Rfam family "Bacterial small subunit ribosomal RNA", at positions 28 to 507 of the family's 1533-position model. The record is from RNAcentral.
GAUGAACGCUGGCGGCGUGCCUAAUACAUGCAAGUCGAGCGAACGGACGAGAAGCUUGCUUCUCUGAUGUUAGCGGCGGACGGGUGAGUAACACGUGGAUAACCUACCUAUAAGACUGGGAUAACUUCGGGAAACCGGAGCUAAUACCGGAUGAUAUUUUGAACCGCAUGGUCCAAAAGUGAAAGACGGUCUUGCUGUCACUUAUAGAUGGAUCCGCGCUGCAUUAGCUAGUUGGUAAGGUAACGGCUUACCAAGGCAACGAUGCAUAUCCGACCUGAGGGGCGGAUCGGCCACCUUGGAGCUGGGCCACGGUCCUGACUCCUACGGGACGCCGCAGUAGGGAAUCUUCCGCAGUGGGCGAAAGCCUGACGGAGCAACGCCGCGUGAGUGAUGAAGGUCUUCCGAUCGUAAUGCUCUGUUACUAGUGAAGAACAUAUGUGGAAGGAACUGUGCACAUCGUGACGGUACCUAAUCAGAAAGCCCCGGCUAACUACGUG